RNAcentral lists this ribosomal RNA (485 nucleotides) under uncultured bacterium. RNAcentral describes it as "partial 16S ribosomal RNA". It matches the Rfam family "Bacterial small subunit ribosomal RNA", at positions 30 to 507 of the family's 1533-position model. The record is from RNAcentral.
UUGAACGCUGGCGGCAUGCCUUACACAUGCAAGUCGCACGGCAGCACGGGUGCUUGCACCUGGUGGCGAGUGGCGAACGGGUGAGUAAUACAUCGGAACAUGUCCUGUAGUGGGGGAUAGCCCGGCGAAAGCCGGAUUAAUACCGCAUACGAUCUACGGAUGAACGCGGGGGCCCUUCGGGCCUCGCGCUAUAGGGUUGGCCGAUGGCUGAUUAGCUAGUUGGUGGGGUAAAGGCCUACCAAGGCGACGAUCAGUAGCUGGUCUGAGAGGACGACCAGCCACACUGGGACUGAGACACGGCCCAGACUCCUACGGGAGGCAGCAGUGGGGAAUUUUGGACAAUGGGCGAAAGCCUGAUCCAGCAAUGCCGCGUGUGUGAAGAAGGCCUUCGGGUUGUAAAGCACUUUUGUCCGGAAAGAAAUCCUUGGCCCUAAUACGGUCGGGGGAUGACGGUACCGGAAGAAUAAGCACCGGCUAACUACGUG